Molecule: ribosomal RNA, 425 nt
Filed under: uncultured bacterium
Lineage: Bacteria
Description: bacterial SSU rRNA
Rfam family: Bacterial small subunit ribosomal RNA
Source: RNAcentral
GUGGGGAAUCUUGCGCAAUGGGCGAAAGCCUGACGCAGCCAUGCCGCGUGAAUGAUGAAGGUCUUAGGAUUGUAAAAUUCUUUCACCGGGGACGAUAAUGACGGUACCCGGAGAAGAAGCUCCGGCUAACUUCGUGCCAGCAGCCGCGGUAAUACGAAGGGGGCUAGCGUUGCUCGGAAUUACUGGGCGUAAAGGGCGCGUAGGCGGACAGCUUAGUCAGAGGUGAAAGCCCAGGGCUCAACCUUGGAAUUGCCUUUGAUACUGGCUGUCUUGAGUUUGGGAGAGGUGAGUGGAACUCCGAGUGUAGAGGUGAAAUUCGUAGAUAUUCGGAAGAACACCAGUGGCGAAGGCGACUUUCUGGCUCGUAUCUGACGCUAAGGCGCGAAAGCGUGGGGAGCAAACAGGAUUAGAUACCCCUGUAGUCC